Molecule: long non-coding RNA, 1376 nt
Filed under: Homo sapiens (human)
Lineage: Eukaryota; Metazoa; Chordata; Mammalia; Primates; Hominidae
Description: HSALNT0136726
Source: RNAcentral
AUUAAUCUCACAUGAGAAAUAUGCAAAACAACCCACUGGAAGAGAAUUUUUAUUGGAAUAUUAAACUAAUAUAAAAGCAACAUUUUACCCUAGGCUAUGUGAGCCGGAAAUGCUUUGCUAAAUUGUGGCGGGCAGGGAGAGGGAGGCAGGGAGUGCAAACCAUGCUUCAAACCGGUGGUGGUGGGGGCGGUGCUUUGGGUAGCAGCUGACAGCCUGACUGAGGUUGAAGCCCUAUAGUGCAAACUUAAGAAUACUAUAAAACAGCUUAUUUUCUCCACACUUAGUGUGAGACUUAAAACUAAAUCCACCGCACAAUAUUUCUUCUUGAGAUACCUUCUACCUUUUGCCAUGUGUUAUUUCUUGGUUUUGUUUUUUCUGUGUCGGGAGGAACAGUACCCCAUUCUGUAUUUGGUUCAAGCUCCAGCAAACUGCUCACGUGCCUCGUAUGUUCUACAAGAUUCGCACACUGGGAUGGCUCAUGUGGUGUCAUGAAUUGUGAACAUUACUGUGCAGUCAUUCUCAGAAGCUCUGAGAUGCAAGACAUUAUUUGUCAAGAUUGCAGAGAUACCAAGAAUCACCUGGAAACUUAGAGAAAAAAAUGCAAAUGCUGGAGAACUGAUGAUGAUGGGAUCUGAAAAUACUCAUCUUAAACAAGCAUUCUAGGCACUAAGGACUGCUCUUGGGAAGCUCCAUAAAACUGCUAGAAAUAGCAUGAGGCUCAUCUGGUGCAAGACUCCGGGGAGAAAGAGCAGGGGGAAUGCUCCAGGGAAGCAGGAACACACUUUUCUCAAGGUCUGAAGAACAAUUCUAAAGCCUCCUCAAAGCACACCUACUCUCUCAUUCAAAUUUGUCCCAGAGAUGUAUGAGCCCCGAGUUAGAAAGCCAGUGAAAGCGUAGGCUCAUAAACGCAUUAACAUCUAGGUUUAUCCCAAAAAGGACCAGAGCAUCCUGCCUGGCUAGCAAGUUAGAUAAUCCAAGAAUGAGGGUGGGAAAGAAAAAUUAAGUUUCUGGAAGAUUUAAGAUCCAGUAAAUACUGAUGUACUUCCAAUAAUGUCAAAUAAAGUUAUUUCUAAAGGUAUGAUGCAUUUAUAAAAAACAGUUAAAUUAAGAGAAAUAGAUUCAAUGAACCUUUUUUCAUGUGUGAAAAUAGUCCAAAAUUAACACAGCUUGAUUGGAGGAUAAUCUAGAGAGUGGGGGAAAAGAAAGAAAUUGUUUAUUUUAUAAUUAUAAAUUGAUUUUUAAGUUGCAUUAAACUGUUAAAAAGCUACCUGAAAAAAAUAAUCAAAUCUGACUUUUUUUUCAAACCCUAAUGCACUUUUAUUCCUAAAAUAAAUGCAAAAAUGUGUCUUACGUUUAUUGUUAAAGAUUUGUCUUCC